CGCGUAGGUGGUAGUGUAAGUCUGAGGUGGAAUCCUAUGGCUUAACCAUAGAACUGCCUUGGAUACUGUAUUACUUGAGUCAGUGAGGGGAGGGUAGAAUUCCUGGUGUAGCGGUGAAAUGCGUAGAUAUCAGGAGGAAGGCCUGUGGCGAAGGCGGCCCUCUGGUGCUGGACUGACACUGAGGCGCGAAAGCGUGGGGAGCAAACAGGGUUAGAUACCCUGGUAGUCCACGCCCUAAACGGUGGGCACUAGGUGUAGGGCUCGCAAGGGUUCUGUGCCGAAGGGAAACCAUUAAGUGCCCCGCCUGGGGAGUACGGCCGCAAGGUUGAA
Molecule: ribosomal RNA, 330 nt
Filed under: uncultured bacterium
Lineage: Bacteria
Description: bacterial SSU rRNA
Rfam family: Bacterial small subunit ribosomal RNA
Source: RNAcentral